This 285-nucleotide unclassified non-coding RNA is filed under the name Hevea brasiliensis (rubber tree). Lineage: Eukaryota; Viridiplantae; Streptophyta; Magnoliopsida; Malpighiales; Euphorbiaceae. The record is from RNAcentral.
CCGAGAGAACAGGUGUUGGCAGAGAAAGGCUUGGAUUGGAAAAAGAUUGAGAUGGAGUUAGAAGCUAAGAAGACGAGCGCACAUUCAAGCAGGCCCACCAGUGCACACUCGAGCAGGCCUUCAAGUGCGCAUUCCGCCAGAUCGGAGGGGCCGGGGCUGCAGCAGGGAUUAGAGAAUUUGGUAUUGAAGCCAAGACCAAAAGUGAAUCCCUUUGGGGACGCAAAGCCUAGGGAAGUGUUGUUGGAGGAAAGAGGUCAGGAUUGGCGGAAGAUUGAUCUUGAAUUG